This 301-nucleotide ribosomal RNA is filed under the name uncultured bacterium. RNAcentral's name for it is "partial 16S ribosomal RNA". It matches the Rfam family "Bacterial small subunit ribosomal RNA", at positions 509 to 807 of the family's 1533-position model. The record is from RNAcentral.
CAGUCGCCGCGGUAAAACAGAGGGUGCAAGCGUUAAUCGGAUUUACUGGGCGUAAAGGGCGCGUAGGUGGUUAUGUAAGUGAGAUGUGAAAUCCCCGGGCUCAACCUGGGAACUGCAUCUUAUACUGCGUAGCUGGAGUGCAGUAGAGGGUAGUGGAAUUUCCGGUGUAGCGGUGAAAUGCGUAGAGAUCGGGAGGAACAUCAGUGGCGAAGGCGGCCAUCUGGGACAACACUGACGCUGAGGCACGAAAGCGUGGGGAGCAAACAGGAUUAGAUACCCCAGUAGUCCCUGUCUCUUAUAC